This 942-nucleotide ribosomal RNA is filed under the name Bacillus sp. S1(2011). RNAcentral describes it as "bacterial SSU rRNA". It matches the Rfam family "Bacterial small subunit ribosomal RNA", at positions 36 to 974 of the family's 1533-position model. The record is from RNAcentral. Lineage: Bacteria; Bacillati; Bacillota; Bacilli; Caryophanales; Bacillaceae.
CUUGCGGGGGUUCCUAAAAUGCAAGUCGAGCGGACGGAUGGGAGCUUGCUCCCUGAAGUCAGCGGCGGACGGGUGAGUAACACGUGGGCAACCUGCCUGUAAAACUGGGAUAACUCCGGGAAACCGGGGCUAAUACCGGAUAACUCUUUUCCUCACAUGAGGAAAAGCUGAAAGAUGGUUUCGGCUAUCACUUACAGAUGGGCCCGCGGCGCAUUAGCUAGUUGGUGAGGUAACGGCUCACCAAGGCCACGAUGCGUAGCCAACCUGAGAGGGUGAUCGGCCACACUGGGACUGAAACACGGCCCAAACUCCUACGGGAGGCAGCAGUAGGGAAUCUUCCGCAAUGGACAAAAGUCUGACGGAGCAACGCCGCGUGAGUGAUGAAGGUUUUCGGAUCGUAAAACUCUGUUGUCAGGGAAAAACAAGUACCGGAGUAACUGCCGGUACCUUGACGGUACCUGACCAAAAAGCCACGGCUAACUACGUGCCAGCAGCCGCGGUAAUACGUAGGUGGCAAGCGUUGUCCGGAAUUAUUGGGCGUAAAGCGCGCGCAGGCGGUUCCUUAAGUCUGAUGUGAAAGCCCCCGGCUCAACCGGGGAGGGUCAUUGGAAACUGGGGAACUUGAGUGCAGAAAAGAAGAGUGGAAUUCCACGUGUAGCGGUGAAAUGCGUAGAGAUGUGGAGGAACACCAGUGGCGAAGGCGACUCUUUGGUCUGUAACUGACGCUGAGGCGCGAAAGCGUGGGGAGCAAACAGGAUUAGAUACCCUGGUAGUCCACGCCGUAAACGAUGGAGUGCUAAGUGUUAGAGGGUUUCCGCCCUUUAGUGCUGCAGCAAACGCAUAGCACUCCGCCUGGGGAGUACGGCGCAGCCUGAACUCAAAGAUGACGGGUCCGCACAGCGAUGAGCAUGUGAUAGUCCGAAGCCACGCGAAGAACCUUAG